AAAAAAAAUUGGUUGCCUGUAAAGUCGGUAUACGGGCGAAAGUUUUACGUGACAACGACUUUUUAUGUCUGUCUCUCUCGCUCUUAGGCGGGCUAACCAUGCCCGAGUGGAAGGGACGCGUGCCUCUCACUCGCUCUCAUUGUGAGCGCAUAACGUGAGCGGAGCGUAACGCAGUUUCUUGAAGUGUCACCCGGCAAACCAAUUUAUAAGACGUUGUCACGUCAAUAAUAAUUUUUGUUAUAA
Long non-coding RNA from Colias croceus (clouded yellow), 243 nucleotides. RefSeq lists it as uncharacterized. The transcript is spliced from 3 exons. Lineage: Eukaryota; Metazoa; Arthropoda; Insecta; Lepidoptera; Pieridae. The record is from RefSeq and is a predicted model, not a curated record.